Molecule: ribosomal RNA, 220 nt
Filed under: uncultured bacterium
Lineage: Bacteria
Description: partial 16S ribosomal RNA
Rfam family: Bacterial small subunit ribosomal RNA
Source: RNAcentral
GUGGUUUAAUUCGAAGCAACGCGAAGAACCUUACCAGGUCUUGACAUCGAUCUAAAAGGGAUGGAGACAUCCUCAUAGCUAUAGAGAAGACAGGUGGUGCAUGGUUGUCGUCAGCUCGUGUCGUGAGAUGUUGGGUUAAGUCCCGCAACGAGCGCAACCCCUGUCGCCAGUUACCAUCAUUAAGUUGGGGACUCUGGCGAGACUGCCUCUGCAAGGAGGA